This 590-nucleotide ribosomal RNA is filed under the name Penicillium sp. IA54031. RNAcentral's name for it is "eukaryotic LSU rRNA". The stretch from base 173 to 326 matches the Rfam family "5.8S ribosomal RNA". Lineage: Eukaryota; Fungi; Ascomycota; Eurotiomycetes; Eurotiales; Aspergillaceae. The record is from RNAcentral.
GGAUGGCGGGGGCGAUGUCUAUCAGCGGCGGCGCGAUCUAUAAGUACGAUGAUGCAUCGAUGAGCGUGCGUUUUGGCUGCUGGCGUACAUCUGUCCCGGUUCCGCGCUCGCCGAAGACACCUUAGAACUCUGUCUGAAGAUUGUAGUCUGAGAUUAAAUAUAAAUUAUUUAAAACUUUCAACAACGGAUCUCUUGGUUCCGGCAUCGAUGAAGAACGCAGCGAAAUGCGAUACGUAAUGUGAAUUGCAGAAUUCAGUGAAUCAUCGAGUCUUUGAACGCACAUUGCGCCCUCUGGUAUUCCGGAGGGCAUGCCUGUCCGAGCGUCAUUGCUGCCCUCAAGCACGGCUUGUGUGUUGGGCUCCGUCCUCCUUCCGGGGGACGGGCCCGAAAGGCAGCGGCGGCACCGCGUCCGGUCCUCAAGCGUAUGGGGCUUUGUCACCCGCUUUGUAGGACUGGCCGGCGCCUGCCGAUCAACCAAACUUUUUUCCAGGUUGACCUCGGAUCAGGUAGGGAUACCCGCUGACUUUAGCAUAUCAUAGGCGGAGGAACAUGCGGUCCUCCGGAGCACCCGCGCGUUCAUUUCGAACUGU